GAUGAACGCUGGCGGUAUGCCUAACACAUGCAAGUCGAACGGGCUCUUCGGAGCUAGUGGCGGACGGGUGAGUAACGCGUGAGAAUCUGCCUUCAGGAUGGGGACAACAGUGAGAAAUCGCUGCUAAAACCCAAUGUGCCGAAAGGUGAAAUAUUGUAUAGCCUGAAGAGGAGCUCGCGUCCGAUUAGUUAGUUGGUGGGGUAAAGGCCUACCAAGGCAGCGAUCGGUAGCUGGUCUGAGAGGAUGAGCAGCCACACUGGGACUGAGACACGGCCCAGACUCCUACGGGAGGCAGCAGUGGGGAAUUUUCCGCAAUGGGCGAAAGCCUGACGGAGCAAUACCGCGUGAGGGAGGAAGGUUUUUGGAUUGUAAACCUCUUUUGUUAAGGAAGAAGAAAGUGACGGUACUUAACGAAUAAGCAUCGGCUAACUCCGUGCCAGCCGCCGCCGUAA
This 452-nucleotide ribosomal RNA is filed under the name uncultured bacterium. Its description in RNAcentral is "partial 16S ribosomal RNA". It matches the Rfam family "Bacterial small subunit ribosomal RNA", at positions 28 to 523 of the family's 1533-position model. The record is from RNAcentral.